UCAGCUGGUCCACAAACACUCGAUGAAACGCUCAGUCACGUCCAGCAGAGAGACGAAGACUCUUUGGUUCUAUUCCAUGCCGACCAUUGUCUCCAGGAAAACUUGCAAGGCGAGGCAGACAAAUACGAGGGUAGUAGAGGAAUUCAACACGUACGCCGAUGUCUAUCUUUGUGACUCAGUUCUCACGAAACACAAUUAAAAUGUGUUCUGAUACACAUUAUAUUACUAUUACGGAUCCACAAAGAAGAGGUCGGAAUAAAUAAGUUCUUCUUCUUCCGGCUCCUUUUUGGUCAUGUUGAUUUUAUGUGAGUUUAAAUGUGAUGUUCUUCAAUGUAACUUGUUAAACAUGUUUAAAUUAUCUGAACUAUUCCCAAUACUUAAAGAUUUCAAAGUAACCUGAAGCGAGUAACAGCCAAUGUAAUGUGGGGAAAGAUGUGAGAGUAGUAGGUCAAUCCAUGAAAACUAAUGAAAAAAGUUGUACUUUUGUGCUGACUGCUAAGUUAAAUAUCCACCACGUUUAUUUCUAACGUCACUAUCCAACAUUCACGUGUACGCUGAUGAUAAUGCAAAACGUCUUAUUCCAAAAUGUAAAUAAAAAGUAUUGGACAUGU
Nerophis ophidion (straightnose pipefish) is the source of this 611-nucleotide long non-coding RNA. RefSeq lists it as uncharacterized. NCBI's taxonomy places the organism in Eukaryota, Metazoa, Chordata, Actinopteri, Syngnathiformes, Syngnathidae. The record is from RefSeq and is a predicted model, not a curated record. The transcript has 2 exons.